This 498-nucleotide ribosomal RNA is filed under the name uncultured bacterium. RNAcentral describes it as "partial 16S ribosomal RNA". It matches the Rfam family "Bacterial small subunit ribosomal RNA", at positions 30 to 523 of the family's 1533-position model. The record is from RNAcentral.
AUUGAACGCUGGCGGCAUGCCUUACACAUGCAAGUCGAACGGUAACAGUUCUUCGGAUGCUGAAGAGUGGCGAACGGGUGAGUAAUACAUUGGAACGUGCCUAGUAGUGGGGGAUAACUACUCGAAAGAGUGGCUAAUACCGGAUGAGAUCUAAGGACGAAAGCAGGGGAUCGAAGGACCUUGUGCUACUAGAGCGGCCGAUGCCAGAUUAGGUAGUUGGUGGGAUAAAAGCUGACCAAGCCGACGAUCUGUAGCUGGUCUGAGAGGACGAUAAGCAACACUGGGACUUAGACAAGGCCCAGACUCCUACGGGAGGCAGCAGUGGGGAAUUUUGGACAAUGGGCGCAAGCCUGAUCCAGCAAUGCCGCGUGCAGGAUGAAGGCCUUCGGGUUGUAAACUGCUUUUGUACGGAACGAAAAGCCCUGGGUUAAUACCCUGGGGUCAUGACGGUACCGUAAGAAUAAGCACCGGCUAACUACGUGCCAGCCGCCGCAGUAA